Hypanus sabinus (Atlantic stingray) is the source of this 10326-nucleotide long non-coding RNA. RefSeq lists it as uncharacterized. NCBI's taxonomy places the organism in Eukaryota, Metazoa, Chordata, Chondrichthyes, Myliobatiformes, Dasyatidae. The record is from RefSeq and is a predicted model, not a curated record. The transcript is spliced from 3 exons.
CGUUCAGAUAAUAAUCUGCCUUCCUGUUCUUACUCCCAAAGUGGAUAACCUCACACUUAUUCACAUUAAACGUCAUCUGCCAAGUAUCCGCCCACUCACCCAGCCUAUCCAAGUCACCCUGAAUUCUCCUAACGUCCUCAUCACAUGUCACACUGCUACCCAGCUUAGUAUCAUCAACAAACUUGCUGAUGUUAUUCUCAAUGCCUUCAUCUAAAUCGUUGACAUAAAUCAUAAACAGCUGUGGUCCCAAUACCGAGCCCUGUGGCACCCCACUAGACACCACCUGCCAUUCCGAGAAACUCCCAUUCACCGCUACCCUUUGCUUUCUAUCUGCCAACCAGUUUUCUAUCCAUGUCAAUGUCUUCCCCCCAAUGCCAUGAGCUUUAACUUUACCCACCAAUCUCCUAUGUGGGACCUUAUCAAAUGCCCUCUGAAAAUCGAGGUACACUACACUACAUCCACUGGAUCUCCCCCUUAAGAAUGCAGAAGAACAGAGUGAUCUAGGAAUAAUGGUGCAUAGUUCCCUGAAGGUGGAAUCUCAUGUGGAUAGGGUGGUGAAGAAAGCUUUUGGUACGCUGCCCUUUAUAAAUCAAAAGCAUUGAGUAUAGGAGUUGGGAUGUAAUGUUAAAAUUGUACAAGGCAUUGGUAAGGCCAAAUUUGGAGUAUUGUGUACAGUUCUGGUCACCGAAUUAUAGGAAAGAUGUUAACAAAAUAGAGAGAGUACAGAGAAGAUUUACUAGAAUGUUACCUGGGUUUCAGCACCUAAGUUAUGGAGAAAGGUUGAACAAGUUAGGUCUUUAUUCUUAGGUUGAGGGGGGACUUGAUAGAGGUAUUUAAAAUUAUGAGGGGGAUAGAUAGAGUUGACGUGGAUAGGCUUUUUCCAUUGAGAGUAGGGGAGAUUCAAACAAGAGGACAUGAGUUGAGAGUUAGGGGGCAAAAGUUUAGGGGUAACAUGAGGGGGAACUUCUUUAUUCAGAGAGUGGUAGAUGUGUGGAACAAGCUUCCAGUAGAAGUGGUAGAGGCAGGUUCGAUUUCGUCAUUUAAAAAAAAUUGGAUAGGUAUAUGGACAGGAAAGGAAUGGAGGGUUAUGGUCUGAGUGCAGGUCGGUGGGACUAGGUGAGAGUAAGCAUUCGGCAUGGACUAGAAGGACUGUUUCCGUGCUGUAAUUGUUAUAUGGUUAUAAAACUACAUUUUCAAGAUAGUUUUCAGAGAAGAAUAUUUCAUUAACUACAUGAGGCCCUUGUUAGAUCACUAUUUUCAUAAAAUAAAACUGGAGAAUGUUGCAAACAAACACUCUGUGAACAAAAGGAAUCACUUCCAGCAACUUUAGCCGUGUUAAAUAUGUAUUUCAGUUCUGAUGUUGUUAUGGAACAUAGACGAGUACAGCACAGGACAGGCCCUUCAGCCCACAAUGUGCCAAAUCAAUUAAAUUAGCAUCAAGUGCCAAACCAAACUAAUCCUAUCUGCCUGCACAAUGUCCAUAUCCUUCCAUUUUCCUCACAUUCAUGUGCCUAUCUAAGCAUCUCUAAAGUCUCUAAUGUAUCUUCCUCUACCACCACCCCAGGAAGCACAUUCUAGGCAUCCACCACUCUCAGUGUAAAAAAACUUGCCCCUCACAUCUCACCUUAAAUGCAGGCCUCUGGUAUUAGACCCUUCAAUCCUGGGAAAAGAUACUGACUGUCUACUCUACGCCUCUCAUAAUCUUAUAACGUUUUAUCAGAUCUCUCCUCAGCCUCCGCUGCUCCAGGCAACACACGCCAAGUUUGUCCAGCCUUGCAUUAUAGCACAUGCCCUCUCAUCCAUGCAGCAUCCUGGUAAACCUGCACCUUCUCCAGAGCCUCAACAUCCUUCCUAUAAUGGGGCGAGCAGAACUGUAUGCAAUAUUACAGAUAUGGCCUGACUCAAGCUUUAUAAAGCUGCCACAUAACUUCCUGACUUUUGAAUUCUGUGCCUUGACUAAUAAAGGCAAGCAUGCCAUAUGCCUUCUUAGCCACUCUAUCAACCUUUGUAGCCACAUACAGCGAGCUCUGAACUUGGAACCCAAGAUCCCUCUGCUCAUUACCAUCCUGUUAAGGAUCUUACCCUUAACAGUGUACUACGCUCUCUUUGCAUUUGACCUACCAAGGUGCAACACUUCCCAUUUGUUCAGGUUAAACUCCAUCUGCCAUUCCUCUGCACACUCUGAACAGAAGGAAUCACUUCCAGCAACCCUAUCUGUAUUUAAAUAUGUAUUUCUGUUCUGAGGUUGUUCAAAUGAUGCUGAGUUUCAAAGUGUAAUGAUAGCAAACACAAUUGCAAACUCUGAACAAUGGUUCCCAGCAGUCCUCCAUCUCAAUAGCUACCUCUGUGUACAUAAAUCUCAACAUUCAUUUGAAGAAACUUCCUUAAUUUCCACAAUAACUGCAAAUUUUUAAAAACUGUCUACCGGGACAAAUGUCAAAUGCAACUUACUUACAGUGCAAGGUUAAGAGAACCUCAUUAACCCAAAAACAGGAUUUGAAUUGCAUCCAGAUGAUAGAGUUAUUGAAUAGGCUUAACUUAACAACAAUAUUAUCCACCACUCCUACUUGAAAGAAGGGAAAUUGUUCUAGGGCACAUAGUAUGUUAGCUGGUGAUUACAACUGAAGAAGUUAAGGUCCUCUAAAGACCCAGUCCGGUAGGGUGAAACAGGAGGAGGAUUAUUCUCCACUCAGUAGCAACUUUAAUAGGUCCAGGAGUGUAUCUAAUGACAUGGCCCUAGGAGUGGGACCUGGUGCGGUCUUCUGUUGCUCUAGCUGAUCUACUUCAGAGAUGCUCUUCUGCACACCACUGUUGUGUCAUGUGGUUAUUUGAGUUUUGGUUGCCUUCUUGUCAGCUUGAACCAGUCUGGCCAAUCUCCUCAGACACCUCUCAUUAACAAGGUGUUUUUGCCCACAGAACUGCCACUUACUGGAUUUUUUUUGUGUUUUUUUCCACCAUUUUCUGCAAACUCUAGAGAUAAUGGUGCAUGAAAAUCCCAGGACAUCAGCAGUUUCUGAGACACUCAAACCACCCCAUCUGGCACCAAUCACUUCACAGUCAAAGUCACCUAGAUCAUAUUUCUUCUCCAUUCUGAUGUUUGGUCUGAACUUCAUCUGAAACUCUUGACCAUGUCUGCUUGUUUUUAUGCAUUGAGUUGCUGCCACAUGAUUGACUGAUGACAUUUUUGCAUGAACAAGCUGGUGUCCCUAAUAAAAUGGCCACCAAGUGUAUAUAUCAUUGGGAUUCAUAUGAGAUAUUAAAAUGCAAAAGUGUUUUAAUCCCAACAAUGCAAUCUCUCACUUUUAAAACUCUAACCAAGAAUUGAGGACAGAAGGGAGCAAACUCACCCAAAAAGGAUUCAAGGAAAGCAUGGAAAAACUUUCAAAUCAGAGGUUUGUAUCAUAAGAUGAAGGAGAAUUUGGCUAUUUGGCCAAAUGAGUAUGCUCCACCAUUCUAUCAUGGUUCAUUUACUAUCCCUCGCAACCACAUUCUCCAGUCUUCUCCUUGUAACCUUUGACUCCCUGACUAAUGAAGAACCUAUCAACCUCUGCUUUAAAUGACUUAAUGACUUGGUCUCCCUGUGCCAAUUAAUUCCACAGAUUCACUAUUCUCUGGUUGAAGAAAUUUCUCCUUAUCUUUGUUCAAGUGGACAAUGUGGCUGUGUGUCCUCUGGUCCUAGACUCUCCCACUACAGGAGACAUCCUCUCCACAUCCACUCUAUUGAAAGAUUUUGCUUAAUGUCAUAUAAAUCACAUGAAGGCAAAAAAACAUGCACAUUCACCAGUAUUCAAUCAUCAGAGUAUUUUUUUUAAUCUUUCACACCCUUCUCAAAGCUGCAUUGCAGUCUGCUGCUGUUUGACACUAGCAAUGCUCAUUUGCCAUGGUCUAUAUGCAAAAUGAGACUUUUUUAUUUUUUGACCAUUUGCAGACAAUAAGACAUUUAAUACAUUUUUACUUUGCGUCUCACACCUGGUUAACUUAUCUAGCAUCUGUUACAGUUCACAUAAUUGAAAGUGGUAGCAUUCCUUAAAUCUUGUAACAUUUCUGACCAACCCAGUAUGCUUAUUAUUUUAACCUUUAAUCUGCAGAAUUGAAUAUGUAGAGAAAAAAGGUAUUAGGCAAGCUAGAUAUUAAUUGUGUAAUCCUGAGACAACCACAAAAAUGAAACAUGAAAAAGGUGUCAAAAAUCUUGGUGUUACAGAAAAAAUAUUCAUGAGAAAGAUUAUUGCAGAGUUAAGUACUUAGACUGUGAAGUAUCCUGUAAACCCUUGGUCACCCUACCCACUUUGCUGUUAGUCUGAACAACUAGGACAGUAGAGAUGCCAGGCAGGAUAGUUGAAAGCUCCUCUUGCAGGAUGCGGGAAGGCAGCGAGACCUCCAGUGUCCCUGAUGACUACAACUGUGAGAAGUGCAUCCAGCUGCAGCUUCUAACAAACUACGUAAUGGAGUUGGAGCUGAAACUGGACGAACUCCGGAUCAUUUGGGAGGCUGAAGGAAUGAUAGAUAGGACAUAUAGAGAGGUCAAGAAAGUUCAGUCACUCAGCAUUCAGCAUGAGGUAGUAAAUUGGAUUAGACAUUGGCUUUGUGGGAGAAGCCAGGGAAUGGUAGUAGAGAGUUGGCUCUCUGACUGGAGGCCUGUGACUAGUGGUGUGCCACAGGGAUCAGUACUGGAUCCUUUGUUAUUUGUCAUCUACGUCAAUGACCUGGAAGAUCAUAUGUUAACUGGAUCAGCAAAUUUGCGGAUGACAACAAGAUUAAGGGUGCAAUGGACAGCAAGGAAGGAUAUCAUUCAUGGCUUCAAGAGGGAUCUGGAUCAGUUGGAAAAUGGCAGAUGGACUUUGGUAGGACCAACUAGGGUAGGUUUUACACAGUGAACAGCAGGGGCACUGAGGGGUGUGGUAGAACAGAGAUCUGGGAAUACAGAAACAUAAUUCUUUUAAAGUGGUGUCACAGGUAGAUAGGGUCGUAAAGAAAGCAUCUGGCACAUUGGCCUCCAUGAAUCAAUGUAAUGAGUACAGAAGAAGGGAUGUUAUGUUUAUGUCGUAUAAGACGAGUUCAUGCCAACCAUUCAGCAUCUAUUCAGACUAUCUUUCUAUCUAUCUAUAGUCUGGCCCAAUAAACCACAUCACCCAGCCAUUCACCUAUUGAGUCUAGCUAAUCACGAGACAAUUUACAGAGACCAGUGACCAGCACGACUUUGGACUGAGAAGAAACCAGACACCCAGGCAAAACCCAUGUGUUCAAAGUGAGGAAUGCACAAACUCCUUACAGAUGACAUCGGAAUUGAACUGUGAACUCUGAUGCCCCAAGCUCAAAUAGCAUUGCGCUAAAUGCUACACUACCUUGGUACCCCAAGUUUAUAACAAAUGUUCAGCCCAUUAGAACAUGGGAGAAAGUUGAAGCACCUGGACAAAAGUUAUGGGGUCACAGGAAGAGUGCACAAGCUCAACAUAGAUAGAACCUAAGGUCAGGCCUGAACCUGUGAGACAGAGGCAAAGGAUCUUCUAGCAGAACUGUUGUACCAAAUAGUGCUUUUUAUUUUAAAUGCACUAUCUUGUCCCAAUCAACUAUUACCAUUUGUGUUGCCUCAUGAAACUUUUAAACAGCUCCAUGAAAUAAACCCAUAAUUCUGUGUCUUCUAAUUCUGUCCACAUAUUUUUGGUGGGGAUUAUUAUCUCUUUACUCAAGGCGCAGGUCCUAUCCCAGUAACUGGACACAAUAUUCCAAACACAUCACACCAUUCCUAUAAGGCACAGCCCAAACAUUCAAAGUCAAAGUCAAAUUUAUUAUUAAAGUAAAUAUAUGUUACUAUAUACUACCUUGAGAUUCAUUUUCUCAUUUAUAGGAAAGUAAAGAAAUACAAUAGAAUUUAUGAAAAACUAUAAACAAAAUAAAUGUUUAAAUGUGCAAAAGACAAAUUGUGCAAAUGAAAAAAAUUUGAGAACUUGAGUUGUGAAGAGUCCAUGAAGGUGUGUCUGUAAGUUGUAGAAUCAGUUCAGAGUUAUAGUGAGUGAAGUUAUUUACGUUGAUUCAGGAACCGGGUUAUAGGGGUAAUAAUUGUUUCUGAAUCUGGUGAUGUGGGAUCUAAGACUUCUGUAAUCUCAAAUCUAUUCUUGUAAAAUAAUUUGUUUGGAUUUACUAUUACAUUUCAACUUUUGUAUUCCAUAAACCCAAUAUUUUGUUUGAAAGAGAUGUGAGGGGAUACAGAGGGCCACCAACUAUGAUUCUCCAAAAGGAAAAUGUUGCCAAUGCUGGAAAUCUGAAAUAAAAAUGAAAAAAGUUGGAAACCCUUAACAAGUCACAUAGUGCUUGCAAAGGUUUGGCAGAUCCUUCAUUGUUUCACCUGCUCCCUCCUUUCCAAACUCAAGAAUAUAACUUUCUCCAUUCACAGAAUUUAUUGUUUGGUGUUGUUUACAAACAGAUUGAGUUUUUUAAAGUAAAGUUAGGUUUGUAAAACCUAAGAGAGAGGUUAUGGCUAUUUGGUAGGAAUUCCCUCUGUUGCUUCAUGCAGUUGGAGGCUCAGAGGAAAAGAACAAAUAACAUUAUUGUAAACAGAAGAUAUUCUGCAGAUACGGAAAUCCAGAGUAACACUUAGAAAAUGCUGGAGGCAGCAUCUAUGGAGAGGAAUAAAGAGUUGGUGUUUCAGGCUGAGAAAUUUCAUCAGGACAAUAAAUCUCAUAAUUUCUCCUAUCUGAAGUGCUUGUCUUCUAUUGUUAUCUCUUCUUAAUCACAACAAUACUUCUAACUAAUUUAUGGUAUUUUUGGUAAGAAUUUUUAAAAUUUAACUUUGAUUUGAUUAGCUGAGGCUUACUAUUGAAACAUGAAGAUGGCAAUAAGUUUCUCCAGUUAGGUGGCAACAAAGCGGAGGCUAAUCUUUGAGGGAGAGUAGUUUCAAAGCUGAAGUAAACAUGGGACAUAUCGAAAGGAUUAACGUUUUUCUCCAUCUUGAACUGGAGAUUAGCAUACUAUUUAUUUAAUGUAUAAUUAAUGAAGCUUGUUUUAUUUUGAUUACUUUAUGAUUAUGAAGGGAAUACAUUGAUGCAUAAAGAUUUCUUAGCAUGGCUGUUCUUACGCGCACAAGGAACAAUGAGGAAAUCCCCUCAUUUUCUGAGGUACAAGCAACAAAGGGAAGUCCUUCCAAACAGUCAUAACCUAAUCCUUUUAAUAAACUGAUCUUGAAGAUUUGGAAACAGGAGAUCAAAGCUGAGCAUCCAGGAAUUUGGCCAAUCUUCAGGAAGAACUUAAGUAACUUGUUGCCUCCUUCACAUUUAUGGACAUCAGGUUCUAUGGAUAUUAGUGGUUAGUGCAGUGGUACUACAGCUUGGGGGAUCAGAGUUCAGAGUUCACUUCUGACAUCAUUUGUGAGGAGUCUCUGUACGACCUCACUGUGGAAUGCAAGGGAUUUCUCUGAGUCCUCCCACCAUCCAAAGACAUACUGGGUAGGUUAAUUGGUCAUUGUGAACAGUCCCAUUAUUAUGUUAGGAUUAAGUCGGGAUUGAUGGGGGCUGCUGAGCAGUGCCUAUUCCGUGGUACAUCUCUAAAUAAAUAAAGCAAGUAAAUAAGUAAAUAAAUCUCCACCUAAAAUAUCUGAUUGCACACACAUAUCCCAGAGUAUAUACAUAAGGUUGCAGCUCAUAUACUCAGUGGUCUAGUAUAAACAGGUAUGAAAUAUUUUACUUGCACUAACAUUAGCAUCACAUAAUGCUAUGUGAUGAGUUGCAAAUCUACGGUCAGUAGUGGUGUUGAAGGAUCCCAUUUUCACUUAACCUAGCUUUUGUAGCCAGAUAGUGGGGUAAGUUAGAUCUACUAAGAUCAUCUCAUUGCAAAGUCUGCAAUAUAUUGGUGGGAACCAGACAAGUAAACAACAACCUCCUUUCCUCUCACAUGGACUCACCUAUCACUGCUAACUUGUGCUCAUCCCCCUACCAACUUCUUAUUCUGGUUUUCUCCCUCUUCCUUUCCAGUCCUGAUAAAGAGUAUCAGUCCCAAAACUUCAAAUGUUUAUUCCAGUCCCACAGAUGCCGCUUGACCUGCUGAGUUCAUCAAGUAUUUUAUGUGUGCAGAUUUCCAACAUCUGCAGGAUUUUUUGUGUAAACAAACCAACAAGCUGGGACAGGCAACAUUUUUAGAUGUGGAAGUUGAUCUAAUUUGAGUGACACAAGAGACCGUGGAAAUUCUGAAACUAAUAAUCUGAUCAAAUGCUACUCGAUCUGCUAGAUUCCUCUAGCACAGAGGUCGGCAACCUGCGGCUCCGGAGCCACAUGCGGCUCUUUGAUCUCUGUGAUGCGGCUCCCCGUGGUUUGUUAGCUUUUGAAAUGUAAUUCGAAAUUUGAAGAUUAUGGUGAUCUUGUACAAUCUGAAAACUUUGUGGAGACACCGUUUCCUGGCACAUCCGAACCGGCUCACAAUUAGCCACCGUUCCGGCUAAGGGAGAUAGCCUACGGGGGUUUGUGAGUACGUGUCUUUUGGAACAUCCGUGCCCACGGGGACGGGUUGAGGGAGGCUUUAAAGCAAGGCUGUUUAGCUCGAAUAAAGCUACCUUUGACUGCAGUCUUUAUUUUAGCGCUGCGUGUAGCGCUACACCGCUACAACGUGUUUUUUUAUCGCUAUUAAUAUACAUCACAACUGCCAAUGCCUGACACCCGCCAGUGCGCGCAUUCUUUUAAUUCUUCGAUCCAAGGUAGGCUAACUAUGGAGUAACCUUCAACCCAACGUCUUUUUCUCGGAGUUCAAAAUGUUUUUGUUGCAUGCAGAAAUGUAAUUUCGUUUUCUCUGCAGGAGUUCAUCAAUUUCAUAAAUGCAACACAUUAUAGUUUGUUUAUACAUAGCAUAAAGGCAAAAAAAACCCGUUGUAUGCAGUGUUAUUUCAUUUUGUGGCUCCCAGUGUUUUCUUUUCUGUGGGAAAUGGGUCCAUAUUGGCUCUUUCAGUGGUAAACGUUGCCGACCCCUGCUCUAGCAGAUGCAAGCUAGUCCACUUUCAACUGAGCACUCUUAAUAAUUUUCCAAAGGGGCAGGCCUCCUUGACUUAAAGGCUUUCUCAGUGAUGUGCUAAGUAAAAUCUGCAUGAGACAAUUAGGAAAACUUGAAUCUUUUUUAUCUCAGGCACCAAAUUGUUGAACUUUAGCAGGCUACACACUUAUUCUUACAUUGGAAGCAGGAAAUUCUAACAGAUUACAUUAAAUCAGAUAAACUUCACAAUCCAACUACCUAUACUGAGAGACAACAGUGAGAAAUACAGGAUAUGUUUAUUAAGAUGAUUAUUACAAUGAAACACCUAGUAAACAUCACUUAUUUUAUAUCUUUAUUUUCUUUCAAAUGUGGUUCUACUACCAUUGGAGCUUGUGACCUACUGUUCAAUGCCUGAGAUUUACACUCUGAUGGUAUGUUUUCGGGUCAUUGAGUGAUCUGGUUCCAUGAGGCUUCGAGCAAAGCAUGCUACCUUGAGGCCAAGAAGCGAAGAGACAGAGUGCGAACCCAUAAUCGACUCCAUUUCUUGCCGUUUAAAGCACCGAGGAAGACUGAAAUCAUCAAGGAGUGAAUGGAAGGCGAACGGGUGCUCAGUGCUGCUCUACCAGCCUCUUGCUUGCAGCUGCAAGAGGAAGGUGUCUGCAUGUGAUGGUCUCCCUCUUCCUCUCGGUUGCUGCUCCCAAGGAAGGUUUCUGCAUUCCGAUGAUCUCUCUUUCCCUCGGUGCUUUCAGAGGAUGGUGCUGGAGCAAGGUAAAUCGAUGAGGGCAGGGCAUUUCUACAACCCAUACCUCCAAUCUCAUCUCACACCUGACUCCAAAUAGUUUUUGUGGAAGGCAUUACCCCAGAUUGUGUUUGUCUAUUAUUGUGACUUAGACGAAGAUCACACCACAUUUUAUGAGCAACUAAUGAAGACAAUUAGAACUGUUGGGAGCCUGUGAUUUGCAGUUCGGAGAUGGUUUGUGUGUUUCAGUGCUCUGCAGUCUCUGAGGGAAUUCCAAGAGGUAGAGGCAGCUUGUGGGAACCUUGUGGUGAGAAGGCUGCAAGCUGAUGUUUGACUCCAUUUCACCGAUUAAAGCGACGAGAGAGAUUAAAGCAUCGGCUGCCUGCCUUUUUAAUCGCUGAAGGAUCACUCUGCUGCCGGAGAGGGGGAGCCUACCAUUUUAUCGCUGGUGAGAUUGCUCUGCUAUGGAGAGGGAGAAUGUUGCCCAGCUUUUCUGGACUUGGACUGUGGGCUUUUUUUCCAGUCUUAUAGUUUUUUAAUUGUGUUUUUCACUUGAUCUUUCACGUUUCUUUUCGUGUGCAGGGGAGGGGAAUUUGGGGUCCAUGUGCCUGUUCUGUUUUGUUCAUUUUUUAUGCAGG